Molecule: long non-coding RNA, 242 nt
Organism: Salvelinus sp. IW2-2015
Lineage: Eukaryota; Metazoa; Chordata; Actinopteri; Salmoniformes; Salmonidae
Source: RefSeq, a predicted model, not a curated record
UUACAUCUUCAAACUAAGGGCAACCGUGGUAUGGCAUUCCUGACAGGUUAGAUGCAUGAUGAUGCAUACAUGAUGAUGUAUACAGAGGCCAGUGAAGACCAUGAUUGUAACUUAAAAGCAGUUUGCUUGGCUAAAGCCUCCACCACUCCCCUCAGCAGACGAAGUUCCAGAGGUAGAGUCCCAGGGGUCCGUGCAGAGUCUCAUAGGGACUACCAAAGGCAUUGUACAUAAAGAAGCCUGUG